UCUUCCAGUAUGGGGAGCAAAACAGCUAUGGGUCAAGUCCGAUAUCUUUAGGAGAAGUCUUAUUGUGAGGGCGAGUUAUAUAACACCAUAGGACUGGCCGUCCCAUAUGAAAAGAUUAUAUUAGAAUUGAAUGAAGCUUUGUUUAUAUAUUGAUAAUGACAGUAUAUAUAUCGUGUCUUGACUAAUUGCGUGCCAGCAGUCGCGGUAAUACGUAAGAGACUAGUGUUAUUCAUCUUAAUUAGGUUUAAAGGGUACCCAGACGGUCAAUAUAGCUUAUAAAAUGUUAGUACUUGACUAGAGUUUUAUGUAAGAGGGCAGUACUUGAGGAGGAGAGAUGAAAUUUCGUGAUACCAAAGGGACUCUGUAAAGGCGAAGGCAGCCCUCUAUGUAAAAACUGACGUUGAAGGACGAAGGCACAGAGAACAAACAGGAUUAGAUACCCAAGUAGUCUUUGCAGUAAAUGAUGAAUGCCAUAGGUUAGAUUGAUCAAUUAUAGUCUAGGGUUAGUCUAGCAAACUAAUGCCCUAUGAUAUAAUUCAAUAUCUGGUCUAUAAAUGAAAGUGUAAGCAUUUCACCUCAAGAGUAAUGUGGCAACGCAGGAACUGAAAUCACUAGACCGUUUCUGACACCAGUAGUGAAG
This 640-nucleotide ribosomal RNA is filed under the name Fusarium oxysporum f. sp. vanillae. RNAcentral's name for it is "SSU rRNA". It matches the Rfam family "Bacterial small subunit ribosomal RNA", at positions 359 to 937 of the family's 1533-position model. The record is from RNAcentral. Lineage: Eukaryota; Fungi; Ascomycota; Sordariomycetes; Hypocreales; Nectriaceae.